GCGGACGUGGUGGAAUGGUAGACACGCACGCUUGAGGGGCGUGUGGCGCAAGCCGUGGGGGUUCAAGUCCCCCCGUCCGCACCA
RNAcentral lists this transfer RNA (84 nucleotides) under Malaciobacter halophilus. RNAcentral's name for it is "Arcobacter halophilus tRNA-Leu". It matches the Rfam family "tRNA". From Rfam's summary of the family: Transfer RNA (tRNA) molecules are approximately 80 nucleotides in length. Their secondary structure includes four short double-helical elements and three loops (D, anti-codon, and T loops). RNAcentral also lists the same sequence under 2 other names. The record is from RNAcentral. Lineage: Bacteria; Pseudomonadati; Campylobacterota; Epsilonproteobacteria; Campylobacterales; Arcobacteraceae.